UAAAACCAGCUCUUCAAGUGGUCGGGAUAUUUAUUGGGCUUAAAGUGUCCGUAGCUUGUAUGAUAAGUUCCUGGUAAAAUCUAAUAGCUUAACUAUUAGAAGGCUAGGAAUACUGUUGUACUAGAGGGCGGGAGAGGUCUGAGGUACUUCAGGGGUAGGGGUGAAAUCUUAUAAUCCUUGUAGGACCACCAGUGGCGAAGGCGUCAGACUGGAACGCGCCUGACGGUGAGGGACGAAAGCCAGGGGAGCGAACCGGAUUAGAUACCCGGGUAGUCCUGGCCGUAAACGAUGCAUACUAGGUGAUGGUACGGCCAUGAGCCGUAUCAGUGCCGUAGGGAAACCGUUAAGUGUGCCGCCUGGGAAGUACGGUCGCAAGGCUA
This 380-nucleotide ribosomal RNA is filed under the name uncultured archaeon. RNAcentral's name for it is "bacterial SSU rRNA". It matches the Rfam family "Archaeal small subunit ribosomal RNA", at positions 471 to 851 of the family's 1478-position model. The record is from RNAcentral.